Molecule: ribosomal RNA, 505 nt
Filed under: Iberoporus cermenius
Lineage: Eukaryota; Metazoa; Arthropoda; Insecta; Coleoptera; Dytiscidae
Description: partial 16S ribosomal RNA
Rfam family: Bacterial large subunit ribosomal RNA (bases 382-505)
Source: RNAcentral
GUCCUUUAGAAUAAUUAAAGGUUUAACCUGCCCACUGAAAAAUUUUAAAUGGCCGCAGUAAAUUGACUGUGCAAAGGUAGCAUAAUCAAUAGUUUUUUAAUUAAAAGCUUGUAUGAAUGGUUGGACGAAAUAAAAUCUGUCUUUAAUUAAUAAAUAGAAUUUAAUAUUUGAGUUAAAAAGCUUAAAUAUAAUUAAAAGACGAGAAGACCCUAUAGAUCUUUAUAAUAAUUUAAUUAUUUUUAUUUAAGUUUAAUUAUUAAUUUAAUUAAAUUAUUAUUGUAUUGGGGUAAUAUAAAGAUUAAAUAAAUUCUUUUUAAAAAUAAACAAUAAUUUUUGAUUAGUUGAUCCAUUAUUAAUGAUAUAAGAUUAAGUUACCUUAGGGAUAACAGCGUAAUUUUUUUAAAGAGUUCUUAUCGAUAAGAAAGUUUGCGACCUCGAUGUUGGAUUAAAAAUUAUUUUAGGUGCAGUAAUUUAGAAUUUUGGUCUGUUCGACCAUUAAAUUUUU